Molecule: long non-coding RNA, 934 nt
Organism: Gallus gallus (chicken)
Lineage: Eukaryota; Metazoa; Chordata; Aves; Galliformes; Phasianidae
Source: Ensembl
CGAGCUACUAAUGGUCACAAAUCAGAAUAGUACAAUGUUUCUGCUGUUUUCUGAAGCUACAUUAGAAAGCCAGAGGUGUUUACUUGAAGUUCUGCCAUGUUAAUGUUUAUGUGCUUGCUUUAAAAUGCUGUAGUUCUUUAACUAAUCAUGCAUUGUUAACCUCUUGGAAAAGGCAGCGCUUCAGACUACGGUGUUUGCACAGCAGAUUGUAAAAUUGUGUCUCAGAGCUCCAAGGGGGCUAGAACUGUCACGAAUACUUCUAAUAAUAUUGGAAGAAAAUUAAUAGAAGCUCAAGUCCUUGAGCAGGAAUCAGAAUCACACAGCACGGCAUUAUGCAGCCUCUGAAAUUUGAGGAACUGCUGUACAACAUUUCCCAUGCUCAGUUGAGUAGCCAUGUUUUAUCCUCCAGUAAAUGUUUAUUCGGCUGAUCUUACAUUUGGGAAAACUACGACAAAACAGUGGCUGAAGAAAGCUUUACUAAAUUGUUUUCAUUUCCACCAAAAGGACUGAGGAGCACUGUGAGACUGACUGUUCUUUGUGCUGAACUCAAGAGACAGCAAACUCAAUACUGGAAUCACAGGAUCACACAGAAUCACAGAAUGGCCUGGGUUGGAAGGGACCUCAAGGAUCAUGAAUCCCCAAACCCCCUGCCAGGCAGGGCCACCAACCUCCCCAGUUACUAGACGAGGUUGUCCGGGGCCUCAUCCAACCUGGCCUUGAACACCUCCAGGGACGGGGCAUCUACAACCUCUCUGGGCAGCCCGUUCCAGCACCUCACCACUCUCCUGGUUCCCUUCAGGUACUGAAAGGCUGCAAUGAGGUCACCCCGCAGCCUUCUCUUCUCCAGGCUGAAUAAGCCCAGCUCCCUCAGCCUGUCUUUGUAGGGGAGGUGCUCCAGCCCCCUGAUCAUCUUCAUGGCCCUUCUCUGGACCCU